Molecule: ribosomal RNA, 301 nt
Filed under: uncultured bacterium
Lineage: Bacteria
Description: partial 16S ribosomal RNA
Rfam family: Bacterial small subunit ribosomal RNA
Source: RNAcentral
CAGCAGCCACGGUAACACGUAGGGGGCAAGCGUUAUCCGGAUUUACUGGGUGUAAAGGGAGCGUAGACGGAAUGGCAAGUCUGAAGUGAAAUGCCCGGGCUCAACCCGGGAACUGCUUUGGAAACUGUCGAUCUGGAGUGUUGGAGAGGUAAGUGGAAUUCCUGGUGUAGCGGUGAAAUGCGUAGAGAUCAGGAAGAACACCGGAGGCGAAGGCGGCUUACUGGACAAAGACUGACGUUGAGGCUCGAAAGCGUGGGAAGCAAACAGGAUUAGAUACCCCCGUAGUCCCUGUCUCUUAUAC